AGAGUUUGAUCCUGGCUCAGGAUGAACGCUAGCUACAGGCCUAACACAUGCAAGUCGAGGGGCAUCGGGAGGGAAGCUUGCUUCCCUUGCCGGCGACCGGCGCACGGGUGAGUAACGCGUAUCGAACCUGCCCCAUACCCGGGGAUAGCCUUGCGAAAGUAAGAUUAAUACCCGAUGGUUUCCUUUUGUCUCCUGAUGAAAGGAAUAAAGAAUUUCGGUAUGGGAUGGCGAUGCGUCCGAUUAGCUUGUUGGCGGGGUAACGGCCCACCAAGGCAACGAUCGGUAGGGGUUCUGAGAGGAAGGUCCCCCACAUUGGAACUGAGACACGGUCCAAACUCCUACGGGAGGCAGCAGUGAGGAAUAUUGGUCAAUGGGCGAAAGCCUGAACCAGCCAAGUAGCGUGCAGGAUGACGGCCCUACGAGUUGUAAACUGCUUUUAGGCGGGGGUAAAGUGCCGGACGUGUUCCGGUAUUGCAAGUACCGCCAGAAAAAGGACCGGCUAAUUCCGUGCCAGCAGCCGCGGUAAUACGGAAGGUCCGGGCGUUAUCCGGAUUUAUUGGGUUUAAAGGGAGCGUAGGCGGGCUAUUAAGUCAGCUGUGAAAUCCGGCGGCUCAACCGUCGGCCUGCAGUUGAUACUGGUGGUCUUGAGUGCGCGCAGGGGCGUUGGAAUUCAUGGUGUAGCGGUGAAAUGCCCAGAUAUCAUGAAGAACUCCGAUCGCGAAGGCAGAUGCCCGGAGCGCAACUGACGCUGAGGCUCGAAAGUGCGGGUAUCAAACAGGAUUAGAUACCCUGGUAGUCCGCACAGUAAACGAUGGAUACUCGCGGUUCGGCUUUAGAGCGGAGCCGCCAAGCGAAAGCGUUAAGUAUCCCA
Molecule: ribosomal RNA, 871 nt
Filed under: uncultured bacterium
Lineage: Bacteria
Description: bacterial SSU rRNA
Rfam family: Bacterial small subunit ribosomal RNA
Source: RNAcentral